UGAGUGAUAGUCCUGAAUUUAUUUGCGAGCUGGACAAUGAAAAGAUCUAGCACCAUGUAAAUUCAGCAUUUGAGCUC
Haemonchus contortus (barber pole worm) is the source of this 77-nucleotide non-coding RNA. NCBI's taxonomy places the organism in Eukaryota, Metazoa, Nematoda, Chromadorea, Rhabditida, Trichostrongylidae. The record is from Rfam.